GAACGCGAAGAACCUUACCUGGGCUUAAAUGCAGAGUGCAUUCAGCUGAAAGGCUGAUUUCCUUCGGGACUUUCUGCAAGGUGCUGCAUGGUUGUCGUCAGCUCGUGCCGUGAGGUGUCGGGUUAAGUCCCAUAACGAGCGCAACCCUUAUCGUUAGUUGUCAGCGGGUAAAGCCGGGAACUCUAGCGAAACUGCCGGUGUAAACCGAGAGGAAGGUGGGGAUGACGUCAAAUCAGGCACUGCCCUUAUUUCCAGGGCUACACACGUGGUUACAAUGGCCGGUACAGAGGGGAGCUAUGCUGUGAGGCAAUGCGAAUCUCGAAAGCCGGGUCUCAGUUCGGGAUCGGGAGUCUGCAACUCGACUCCCGGGAAGCUGGGAUUCGCUAGUAAUCGCGCAUCAGCCAUGGGCGCUGGGGCAUACGGUGACCGGGGGUCUGGGUGGGACG
Molecule: ribosomal RNA, 446 nt
Filed under: uncultured bacterium
Lineage: Bacteria
Description: bacterial SSU rRNA
Rfam family: Bacterial small subunit ribosomal RNA
Source: RNAcentral